UCUUGCAUUGCCUCACUCAACUUGGGUUUGAUGUGUUUCGAUAGCAUCACAACCUCUUUGAGUGAGCUACAGCAAGU
Molecule: non-coding RNA, 77 nt
Organism: Glossina fuscipes fuscipes
Lineage: Eukaryota; Metazoa; Arthropoda; Insecta; Diptera; Glossinidae
Source: Rfam